AAGUCGUAACAAGGUUUCCGUAGGUGAACCUGCGGAAGGAUCAUUAAGAAUGAUGAAAUCAUACACACUGUGAACAAGACACUAUACAUAAUAAUUACAAGAGAAUAAAAACAACUUUUAGCAACGGAUCUCUAGGUUCUC
RNAcentral lists this unclassified non-coding RNA (141 nucleotides) under fungal sp. Its description in RNAcentral is "partial internal transcribed spacer region". The stretch from base 1 to 46 matches the Rfam family "Eukaryotic small subunit ribosomal RNA", at positions 1786 to 1831 of the family's 1831-position model. Lineage: Eukaryota; Fungi. The record is from RNAcentral.